Long non-coding RNA from Xenia sp. Carnegie-2017, 508 nucleotides. RefSeq lists it as uncharacterized. The record is from RefSeq and is a predicted model, not a curated record. Lineage: Eukaryota; Metazoa; Cnidaria; Anthozoa; Malacalcyonacea; Xeniidae. The transcript is spliced from 2 exons.
GGAGAUUUUCACCGGGCAAUCUUCACAUGGUCCACUAUAUAAAGUGAACUGAAAUACAAUGAUAAAACAAUGAGAAGUCAGCUUCAUAUUGAAGACGAAGAUUUUUCAUCAUCGCACUAAUGGUUUGAAGACCGUUUAGUCCUUUCUUGGCAGCUGAUUUUUUAAUACCUCGUCCUACUUUUACCUUUUUUUGUGCCGCAGGCAUCGCUGCUACAUUUGAAAUGUGGGUGAUGUUGCCUUGACCAUUUCCAAUCAUUCAACCUUGGCAAGUUGACAAAGUUUUAUUUUAUAUAAGUCUUUCUCACACUCCCUACAUCAUACAUAUUACAGCUAAACAGCAGGCUGCUGACUUGUGAAAAAAUUCCUUGUUGUAAGAGAAAAAAAAUUAGAUAAACAGUCAACUUACUUAAAAAGAAAAAAAAAGAGAACACUCUAUUAUAGUAUGGGGUGUAUAUGCUUAGAUUAUGCUGAUGUUUGGGUAUAAAUUAAUUAAAAACUCGGAAACUUA